AGUGAACGCUGGCGGUAGGCCUAACACAUGCAAGUCGAGCGGCAGCACAGUAAGAGCUUGCUCUUACGGGUGGCGAGUGGCGGACGGGUGAGGAAUACAUCGGAAUCUACUUUUUCGUGGGGGAUAACGUAGGGAAACUUACGCUAAUACCGCAUACGACCUACGGGUGAAAGCAGGGGAUCUUCGGACCUUGCGCGAUUGAAUGGGCCGAUGUCGGAUUAGCUAGUUGGCGGGGUAAAGGCCCACCAAGGCGACGAUCCGUAGCUGGUCUGAGAGGAUGAUCAGCCACACUGGAACUGAGACACGGUCCAGACUCCUACGGGAGGCAGCAGUGGGGAAUAUUGGACAAUGGGCGCAAGCCUGAUCCAGCCAUACCGCGUGGGUGAAGAAGGCCUUCGGGUUGUAAAGCCCUUUUGUUGGGAAAGAAAAGCAGCAGGUUAAUACCCCGCUGUUUUGACGGUACCCAAAGAAUAAGCACCGGCUAACUUCGU
Molecule: ribosomal RNA, 491 nt
Filed under: uncultured bacterium
Lineage: Bacteria
Description: partial 16S ribosomal RNA
Rfam family: Bacterial small subunit ribosomal RNA
Source: RNAcentral